CAUUGACUAAAUUACCCCUCGUUCUGACUGCUACGGUGCUACCACGCCGCUCGCCGGACCCCCGCACAACACGAACCUCCGCCUGUCGCCGCCCGUAGGAUCCCCGCCGCCGGCGAAACUCGAGCACUGGCCAUCCACUCUCGUGUGUCGACCGACGCCGCAGCCUCGUCGCACGCGCGCCCAGCUCGUUGCUCGUCAAAUCGCCGUCUCUUCGCGUGGGCGUCCGUCCACCUCACGGCCCGGACCGCUGCGCCCCUCCCCGUCGGCGCGGCGUGCUAUUCCAAGGCUAAGGCCGGCCGUCGCGUUCCAAGCUUCCAUAGCUCCCUCGCUUCGACCUACCUUCUGCCCUGGCUUCUAAACCGGCGGCGCAUCUGCGCUGAGGACAACGUGUUCGAUGAAAUGCCACCGGCUGGGCUUUUGGCUCGGCGAGUCCUGCGUGGGAGAGCUGAGCCGAUGGUGAGGCCUUUGCUUCCCCCCAGAGCAUGGACACGAUGGGUGCACGGCGGCAGGGAGCCACAGGAGGAAGAGUUCCCUUACGCCGACGUACCCCGGCCCGGGAGGAAGUGGGAGAGGAAGCCCUACGUGACGCCAAUGAAGGUCCUCAUCCGGAGGGCUAAGGAGGAGAGACGGGCCCGGCAGGAGGCCCCCUGCCGCGUGCUGGAGCACCCGCCCGCCAACGGCCUUCUCGUGCCGCACCUCGUCGAGGUUGCGCAUCGGGUGCACAGAGCAAGGGAGAAGCUCCUCCGCGGCCUCGCCAUCCUUGUGAAAGGCGAAGCUGCCAUCCCGGUGAAGCGAUGCAGGUUCUGCUCGGAGGUGCACAUCGGUGACGUCGGGCACGAGAUCAGGACGUGUGAGGGCCCCAACAGCGCGUCGAGGAACUCCUUGCACGUGUGGCGGCCAGGGACAGUACGGGAUGUCCUCGGCUUCCCAUACUGCUACCACCUGUUUGAUCGUGUUGGGAAGCCCAGGGUGGUGCACAAGGAGAAGUACACCGUCCCGAGGCUCCCGGCCAUCCUGGAGCUAUGCAUCCAGGCAGGUGUCGACGUCGAGCGAUACCCAACCAAGAGGAGGACAAGGCCAGUCUACUCAAUCGAUGGCAGGAUUGCAGACUUCGAGCUGGACGAAGAAGACGGCUCCCCCGAAGCAGAAACAUCACCUGAAGCUUUGUCGUGUCCAUCCCCACUGCCUCCAACAAGUUCUGCUUGUACUGCCUAUGCCGGUGACCGAACAGAAGAAGAGAUCACCGUGAGGGAGAUGAGCUACAGGACUCUGGAGUCCUGGCUGGAGAUGCGGUCGGGCGCGGUGAAGCUGAUGAGGAAGUACGGUGUGGUCACCUGCGGGUACUGCCCGGAUGUGCAGGUCGGGCCCAAGGGCCACAAGGUGAGGAUGUGCAAGGCGAGCAAGCACCAGCAGCGGGAUGGGCAGCACGCGUGGCAGGAGGCCACGGUGGACGACAUUGUCCCACUGAACCACGUCUGGCACGUCUGCGACCCGGCUGGUGACAGUGUGCCUCUCGCGAACGAGCUCAAGAGGUACUAUGGCAAGGCCCCGGCCGUGGUGGAGCUCUGCGUGCGCGCGGGCGCGCCAGUACCGGCGCAGUACAGGAGCAUGAUGCGGCUGGACGUUGUGCCACCCGCACGCGACGAAUAUGACCUCGUCGCCUGAUACACAGACUGGCAUUGCGGUGCCUGGUGCUCGUGCAUGUUUUUGAGUUCGCCUGCAUGUCGGAGCUGCGCAAGGUUGAAAUGGCCGCUGGAGUGGCAGACAGAGGGGAGAUGAGUCCAUGGGCUCAUCGGCGGAGCCUUGAGGGAAGGAAGCUUCACCCUAGCCGCCGCCACCGCUGGAGGGGACGGAAUAGAUCGGUUUUGCUUGCGUAUAUACCUAGGUCUAAACUAUCAGUUAACAGCUUACAUCCGAGGUCGAGAUGAAUGCAGUUUGUGACAGAUCUUCAUGUAGUCAUGUCCCGUGCUUCUGCUGCUGCUGUUGCCACUCAAGAAUCGCCGAAUGGAGCGCCCUGUUUGGGGUGAGAUUGCAGUGUUUGAGCUUCAGGUUCGUCAUCGGCGACGUGUCGUGUCCACUGUCGAGCCACCUUCUGAUAGCUUCAGCUUCGUAUGUGAACCCAUCUGCUGCAAUCUGAGGGUCACACAUCACCUCCUGUUCACCACGCAUCACACCAAAAGUUGACAAAGCUGGAUGGUGUGUGUGUGUCAUCUGACGAAGCUGCAAAGGAUGGCCGCCCAGCGUUCAGGGAGGCGGCCUUCAUCAGUGGCUCGAUCACUCCCCACACCCCCCCUAUAAGAUCUGGUCGGCGCUUCCCACUCAAGUUGGCGCAUCUCAGUCCAAGACGCGCAAGCUGGUCGGCCUGUUGGUAUGGCCAGCUCCCUGCGGAAUCGUCGAUAAUGGAAUGCAGGUGUUGACAAUGAAGCAACUUUAUAGCCACAGUCGUGUUUCGGAGGAAACCCUUAUAGACUCUUCCAGAUCCACCUUCACCAAUCUUGAGUGCUACAUCAAAGCAUUUGGUUGCUUGCUGCAGCUCAGAUAGCACCAAGUAGACGCCAUCAGCUUCAUAAGUUGGAGAGUGUUUCACUGGUCUUAGUUGGCGUGCAUCAGAAAUAAUCACAGGUGACCAGGAUAUUGCAGGAAGAUUUUCAUUAAUUUCCCUGUAAUUGCACAGGGAAGUACCAGCUUACUUCUGUGGGUCGAUCGUAUGGGGCUACGGACAUGAGCUAUCACAACCCUGGAUCCAUCCUUGGCCAGGUUCUUCAUCGCCCACAGCAAGGUGCUCACCCCUUCGUUGGCAUCGUCUGCCAACGCAACGAACACCGUGCCCUCUGCACCAGGGUAGCUCUGCCCGUCCGGCUCGUCGCCCGUCGUCGACGAGCUGAGGCUGCGCUGGGCGCUCCAGAAUGUCUCGCGGUCGCUGUCGUCCAGCUCCAUUGCCGCCUCCCGAGGCUCCGAUGAUGAGACGGCCGUGUGAGAACUGUAUGAGUACUAAAAUUUGAUCAAUACUCGGUCAGUGCUCAGUAUACUUAACAA
Hordeum vulgare subsp. vulgare (domesticated barley) is the source of this 3036-nucleotide RNA transcript. It is a transcript of the gene named APO protein 3, mitochondrial, with no coding region annotated. The record is from RefSeq and is a predicted model, not a curated record. The transcript has 8 exons. NCBI's taxonomy places the organism in Eukaryota, Viridiplantae, Streptophyta, Magnoliopsida, Poales, Poaceae.